CCGGCCUCGUCAGGAGAGAGACGGGAGGCGGCGAGGACGUCCCGGGGAGCCCCGGGGCCCGGAGCGGGGCCGGGCACGGCCAGAGAGGCGCAGCGGGGACGGGGCUGCCGCGUCCUGACAGGAGCCGAGCGCAGCAGGUGCUGCUGGCCUUGGCACCGGAGGAGCGACGGUAGCGCCUACGGCCGCUUUCGUCCGGCGGGGUGAGUCGUACCCAGCUCUGGGCUGCGGGCUGCGGGGUGCUGGUGGUACUGGUGGUGAUGGUCCUGAUGGUACUGGUACUGCUGGUGGCGGUACUGGUACUGCUGGUACAUCUGGUGGUGGUGGUGCUGCCAGGGGCGGGCGCUGGAAAGCCGUUUUGUCGAGUAGGAGGGACCUCAUGUGGCCUCGUACUUCGUUAUUUUACUGCUUGUUCUGCUGCAAAUUAUUAUGCAAAUCCUUACAAUUUGUGUAAACUCUGAUCGGGUGAACAGAGAAAAAUGUAAUGGUGUGGAGCAUUAGAUAGGCAAGAAUACACACAGUAUUGAAUGUAUUAAAAUAUUCAAAUACAUAUUAAAAAUGUAAUUCCUAGUAGAAAUGUAUGACCUUAUAUGAAUCCAAAUAAUAAUAAUAAAAAAAACACACCAGAGGUUUGAGUAUUUUAGGUUUUAUACAAAUAAUCUAACCUGUAUUCUUUAUUGAUUGAGGACCUGCAUAAAAAGGAAUUUAGAUAAUGUUGUAAAACACUAGGGUUUUCUUCAUACAGUGUAUACAAUUCAGGCUGUAAGCUCUCUGAAGUUAGUAGGUUUUUCAUAUCUUCUUAUGACUGGCACAACCUCAGGAUCUACUGAACCAGGUGGGACGGACUACAUCACUCAGACAAAGCUGUAAACUCAGACUGACAACUCGUAGUAUCAUUUUAGAUCAGACCAUGUUCUUGUUUGUAAAGCAAACAACCCCACCCCAAUGCCCCCAAAUAAAUGCCCCCAAGUAAAUGCUUCAGCUCCAGAAAACACUCCAAUACCUAACACAAACAAGGAUAUAGCCAGCUUUUGCUUUUGUUUUAGCGGUGCUGCUAUACACAUAAGCAGGACUAUCUUCCCUUUCCCUAAACUGUAUUUUCUUUUGAAUUACCAAACAUCGCUAAAGUAAUUGUGAGGUAUCACUGCAAAAAAGACAAGAUCAUCUUGCUCGGUAAGUUUAAUCUCAUACAAACCAUGUAAGAAGACUUAAAAACAAAACAAAACAAAACAAAAAAAAAAAAAAACACACAAACACAAUACCAAACAGUCCCCUCAACAAACCUUUCAGGCCACAAUUGUUCAGUCUUGACUGACUGAGCCUCUCUAUGAAGAAAUAAAUCUGUUUUGCUUAACUCCUGGUUACAACUCCUUAAAGAAAAAUAUUUGAAUAAUUAUGAGUAUGUCUAAGAUCAUCUGUAUGUUCAGUUCUGCAAUGAUGAGGAAUCAUUUUGUGAUGACAAGUCCGUCAAAUUUCUAAUCCCUAAAUUGGAACAAUGCAUAAAUUAAUGAUCUAAUACAUGGAUUAAAGUAAAUACUAGUUUCAACAUGAAGUUAAAUGCCUCAUAGUGCAAUCCAGGAAAUCUCAUUUCAGUAACAUAGGAAAUGGAGGACUAUUGCUCUUUCUUCUUUUUUUUUUUUUUUUUUAAACAUGUGCUUUAUUAUUUGGAAGUCUCAUACAUCUAAAGUACCAUUAUAAGGAGCACCUGUAGGAAAAUCAAACCUAGAAGCAUGCACUUGAAAGUAAGGAUUGUCUGUUAUUAAUCAAAUAUUUCAUAGACAUUGAAAAUAAACCCCCUUUCUUAGCUUUACAGGAUUGAUCCACAAAAUGCACAUCUACCUUAUCACAGUACAUACAAAUAUUGUGGAUGGACAAUAGAAAUCACCACCCUUCCAUAUGAGAUGCAUCAAGAACAAAGUGUUAUUUCUUAUAAUGUCAGAAACAUAAAAGGCACCAUAAUAGAAUGUUUAGAA
Long non-coding RNA from Cygnus olor (mute swan), 1970 nucleotides. RefSeq lists it as uncharacterized. The transcript is spliced from 2 exons. The record is from RefSeq and is a predicted model, not a curated record. Lineage: Eukaryota; Metazoa; Chordata; Aves; Anseriformes; Anatidae.